UGGGGAAUUUUGCACAAUGGGGGAAACCCUGAUGCAGCGACGCCGCGUGAUUUAGAAGGCCUUCGGGUUGUAAAAAUCUUUUGUAUAGGAAGAAAAUGACAGUACUAUACGAAUAAGGACCGGCUAAUUACGUGCCAGCAGCCGCGGUAAUACGUAAGGUCCGAGCGUUGUCCGGAAUCAUUGGGCGUAAAGGGUACGUAGGCGGGUAAGCAAGUUAGAAGUGAAAUCCUGUAGCUCAACUACAGUAAGCUUUUAAAACUGCUCAUCUUGAGAUGUGGAAGGGAAAGUGGAAUUUCUAGUGUAACGGUGAAAUGCGCAGAUAUUAGGAGGAAUACCGGUGGCGAAGGCGACUUUCUGGCCAUAAUCUGACGCUGAGGUACGAAAGCGUGGGUAGCAAACAGG
RNAcentral lists this ribosomal RNA (402 nucleotides) under Bacteroidota bacterium. RNAcentral describes it as "Bacteroidetes bacterium partial 16S ribosomal RNA". It matches the Rfam family "Bacterial small subunit ribosomal RNA", at positions 355 to 776 of the family's 1533-position model. Lineage: Bacteria; Pseudomonadati; Bacteroidota. The record is from RNAcentral.